AUUGAACGCUGGCGGCAGGCCUAACACAUGCAAGUCGAGCGGAUGAAGGGAGCUUGCUCCUGGUUUCAGCGGCGGACGGGUGAGUAAUGCCUAGGAAUCUGCCUGGUAGUGGGGGAUAACGUCCGGAAACGGGCGCUAAUACCGCAUACGUCCUGAGGGAGAAAGUGGGGGAUCUUCGGACCUCACGCUAUCAGAUGAGCCUAGGUCGGAUUAGCUAGUUGGUGGGGUAAAGGCCUACCAAGGCGACGAUCCGUAACUGGUCUGAGAGGAUGAUCAGUCACCCUGGAACUGAGACACGGUCCAGACUCCUACGGGAGGCAGCAGUGGGGAAUAUUGGACAAUGGGCGAAAGCCUGAUCCAGCCAUGCCGCGUGUGUGAAGAAGGUCUUCGGAUUGUAAAGCACUUUAAGUUGGGAGGAAGGGCAGUAAGUUAAUACCUUGCUGUUUUGACGUUACCAACAGAAUAAGCACCGGCUAACUUCGUG
RNAcentral lists this ribosomal RNA (484 nucleotides) under uncultured bacterium. RNAcentral describes it as "partial 16S ribosomal RNA". It matches the Rfam family "Bacterial small subunit ribosomal RNA", at positions 30 to 507 of the family's 1533-position model. The record is from RNAcentral.